UGUACAAAUUAUACACUGAAAUAAGAAACAUGAUACCUUCCUCCUACAAUGCCUCUCUUCUCGAUUAAUCCCUCCAUUUCAAGAUGGUAUCAGAGCGGGUUCCAUACUCCAUGGGACUCAGAAACAAAGUCAUCAUCGCCCCUAAUCAUUCUCGGCCUUUAGCCUAAUCUUCUCCAAACCAAAACCUGCAAAUCAGCAACCCAAUAUAAGCUUUGUGGAGGGUUUUAGUAACUCCCAACAUGUAGCUGUGAAAGAGUUGUUCAAAUCUCAUUUGUGAUUUGUUAUUGCAGCAUUUGGAUGUUACACCUAAAGAGGAGAGCAAGUCGUUGGUUAUCCCCCACGAAAAGGAGAAGCUGUUGAAGAGCUUCUUCACUGAGCUUCAGGAGAGAGAGAAGGAGUUGGGCAUAGCUGACAUCCAACUCGGGCUAACAACUCUCGAAGAAGUAUUUUUGAAUAUAGCAAAACAGGCGGAGAUGGAAAGUGCUGCGGCUGAGGGCACCUUUGCCACUCUCAUGCUUGACUCCGGGGUUUCUCUUCAAGUUCCGAUAGGAGCAAGGUUUAUCGGUAUUCUAGGAACAGAAUCGGCCGAAAAUGGUAGGGAGUGUACCGGCAGCAAGAUGAAUCUGGAUCACUAUGCAUCUCUGGUUUCUCUGAGGAGAUGCCUAUACCGUCUCGUGUGCAGCUCCAAACUGUUUCUUCUGCUUCUCGAAGACCGAAGCAAAUUCAUGGAAUGGUGAUUGAUCCUUCACAGAUUACAGACUCAGAUUAGUGACUGUUUGUUAUGAUCAGUUAGCAAAUUUAUGUACAUUGACACUAACGGACUCAGGGGGCGGUCGCUCCCUCAUGGCCGUUCUGAGAGUCUAAGAUGUCCCUUCGAGUUGAAUCGAAAAUAACA
Molecule: long non-coding RNA, 895 nt
Organism: Salvia splendens (bonfire salvia)
Lineage: Eukaryota; Viridiplantae; Streptophyta; Magnoliopsida; Lamiales; Lamiaceae
Exons: 4
Source: RefSeq, a predicted model, not a curated record